This is a non-coding RNA of Podarcis lilfordi (Lilford's wall lizard), 3290 nucleotides long. The record is from the annotation of a GenBank genome assembly. NCBI's taxonomy places the organism in Eukaryota, Metazoa, Chordata, Lepidosauria, Squamata, Lacertidae.
AGCAUGUCAACUCGUUCAUUUUGAGAGGCAGAUGGCAGAUACCGUGAUUAGCAUUUUCCAGUCCUUUCCUUACAAAGGUGACUUGCCAGAUGUGGCAUCUGGAGUUGUUUUGGAACAGAAUCUCUUCUGACAUCAAUAGACAGGCAAUAUUAUGUUAAGAACAUGAUAAAAUGCCAGCAGUUUCAUAAUGGCACCAACCAAAUUGUAAUUUCUGCUUCAGAAAUUGGUCUUUAUUUUGCCUAGUCCGUUCCUAUGUUCAAAUUAGAUGAAGUUUAAUAUACUGUAAAAUUUAGUGUAUUCUAUCCUUUUCAACCAGCAAUUUUUUUAAAAAAAAAAAACCCUCUUCUGACGUGUUCUCUGGUUUCAAUGCAUGUACGGCCUGUGCGGUGAUUUCAGGAGACAGGGGCGAAGCUAGGCUUUAUUUCACCUGGAUCAAAGACCCAAGUUUGGCACACACGUAACACACAUUUGCGGACAUAAAUACACAGGUUGGGACAUCACGGAAGUGGCCUCGAAAGCUUGUGCAAAGAUAUCCUCGAAAGCUUGCGUAAGGAAAUCUGUUAGGUGCCACAAGGCUCCCAAAUGCAUCUACAACUCUGAAAGAAAUCCUGAUUACGUGGAAAAUGUGCAGGGUUGUACUGAAGACCGGUUUCUGAGAUGUAUUUCACCUAUAAAGGUCGGACAUUUCUGAAAAGGCUCCCCCCACCCGGAGUUGUCAGCUUAUCAACUUCAGCCCCCCCCCCCAAUACUAGAUGGUUGCAUCUGCUCUCCCAAUCUUCACCAGGAUAUUAAAAACUCUGUUACAUUAACAGGUAUUUAAUGUAAGCAGCUAUCUGUCAGUGCCCCCACCAUCUUAGAAAUUAAGAUAGAAACUGGAAUAUUUCAAGGCUAUUCUUAUGUGACACAGCCUCCACCCCAUUCAGCUUGCAAUAAGGAGAUGACAAUGCUAAACUAUGUUGCAGGGUUUUUAUAUGCCACUGUUAAUUCCCACCCUUGCGAUAUAGGCAUAAUAUUGUUAUAGGAAUUCUAAGGUCUCAUAUGUAAGUAUAUAAACCACGUGUCUGAAAUAGUGCAGGAAAACAACCCUGAAGCCAUUUUGACUCUCCCAAAUUGACCUCAAAUAUUUCUCUGCAAGGAGGAAGGCAAUAGGAAAAGCUUUCCAAUUGUCUUUGGAUUGUAGGGGCUUACACCUCCCUGUAAAUACAGUCUGGCAAGUAUCUGUUAAGCUGAGCACACUAUCAGUAUGCGUAUGGGAUUCAGGAACUAAGUAUUUACCAUCUCAAAGGAAUGGCCAGGAUGCCCAGGUAAAAGCAAUCAGUGACCAUUAUUAGGUAUCCUGGCAGACAGGUUUUCUGCUGUAGGCCUCAGUGAUGUAUGUAUGUAUGUUUUGGGGGGUGGUCUUGAGCUACAGGGGAGGCAAUUUUCAAAUGUUUAUAUAAGAGCUUUCAUACCAUUGUUCUAGGUUCCUCUCCUACCUCCCUGUGUGGGGUGAGCAGGGGACCCUGUUGCAACAGUUUAAUAAAGAUUAUGUUUACUAGCUGCUUUGCUUCUCAAUAUUCUCUGGUUGGCCUCUGUUAUUUUCUCCUACCGAUAAAGAACCUACUUAAGGACUCUACCUUCUAGCACAGGAAGCAUUCACAAAUUAAAAGAACUUUAAAACCUCACCUUUUUCCCACACAAGCAGACUUCUGCUUUGCUUCUACUUUUUGAGGAGUGUGUGGGGAAAUAUGCUCCUUGCAAAUAACUGCAAUAAAAUCUUCCUGGAUUUCUACACAGGAUCCCUCCAGACUGUUUAUUUUGCUUUGGGUGGUGUAUUCUGCAACAUGUAAUUGAUACGUUAACAGCGCAUUAGUGGUGGAUUUAUAAUUGUCAGCACAUCAGUCUGUUUUAUUAGUUCUGCAAAGCUUUCCCUGUGUUGUCACAUUAUUUCUGUCUGGAGGGAUUCCUGUUAAGUUUCUAAAUUACAGAAAUAAGUGUCCUAGCUUUCUAUGUUAUUUCUGGCUUUGGGGUUUCUGUAUUUUAAUCUUUUUUUAUAUGUACUGGCUGGCUUGUUUUUAUUAUUAUUGGAAAGCUUUAAAGAUGAAAAAUAACUGCUACUGUUUACAGAUGGUGACCAUGGCGACCACCCUUUCUGCGAGUGCUGCCUGAAGGGACGGGGUGACAUCCUCAAUGCGCCCUAUCUUCAUGCCAGAUCAAGUCAGAGCUCUGAGGGCUGACUGGGCUACAGGCCCAAGAGUCUUUGUUCUAUUUCCACCUGUAGCCUGCAACCUGAUGUGAAGGGCAGUGAUUCCCAGCUCCUUGCAUGUCUGAGCUACAUCCUGGGCAGCCAACAUAGCAGCAUAAGGAGAAGACUCAUCCUUGUCAGCCUUCACUUUCAUGCCACCAGUUACUCAGCAGAUUGUUUCCUUGCCAGACAGGUCAGUUACAUGGACAAAAGUCUCACUGAAGGAAGUGAAGAUGUGGCAGACUCCAAACACAUUCUCUCCUUCAGCCACCUGUGGUCCCAGACUGAUUACCUGUUCUUCCUUCUUUUCCUUGCCCUUAUGAGGUGCCAUUUUCGCACGUCUCCACAGGCAGCAACCAACACCGGAAAGGAAGAGCUAUACUGGCCUGUUUUGUACAACAAGGCAAGUCAAACUUUGACUUACUGGAACUACGUGAACCUGUGAGCUCCCAGGAAGGAACUCAUGGCUGCUUUGUUUCUCCCUGGACCUUUUUGUACUUGCAACCACACUGAGCCAAGGUUCAUUUUUUAAAAAAGACCAGGGAGAAGAAAACAAAUCAGCUGAAGGUUCCUCUCCAGGAGCCCAUACAUGGCCCCAGGCAGCUAGUCUGGUUUACAGUGCUUGGUGAACCGAGCCACCACUACAAUGUCUUCUUUGCUGUUUUAUUGUUUUCAGUCAAAUUAAUUUUAUUUGAUCUAUUUGUAACAGCAACAUGCAUUUUAUAAUUGACUGGCAAUUAGCUUCUGGGUUCAAUUCAAAGUGCAGGUUUUGACCUAUAAAGCCUUAAAUGGCUCAGGACUGCAUCUCUCCAGAUGAACCAACCCAGACUCUGCAAUCAUAUUCUGAGGCCCUUCUUCAUAUGCCUCCACAAGAAUUCUGGAGGGUGGCAACAUGAGACCUUUUCCGCAGUGGAACCCCACUUGUGGAAUGCUCUCCCCAGGAAAGUUUGGCUGACACUUUCAUUAUAUACCUUUAGAUGCCAGAUGAAAGUAUUCUUCUUCAGCCAGGCCUUUGGCUGAUUACUAUCCGAUACCCAUUUUAAAUGUGGGAUGUGGGAUGCGGGAG